Jaculus jaculus (lesser Egyptian jerboa) is the source of this 146-nucleotide small nucleolar RNA. The record is from Ensembl. Lineage: Eukaryota; Metazoa; Chordata; Mammalia; Rodentia; Dipodidae.
CUUCAGUCAUGACAAGAUAACGAGUCAGAAAUGUCACAUCCUGCUCUUGGUCCUUGUUAGGGCCACGUUCUGUGGUGUUGCACAUGGGCUCCCAUAGCAAAAGUGUCCUAUUCCUUGAUUGAUUUUAAGGCAUUUGUCUGAGAAGG